UGGGCUUGAUAAACCGGAAUCUGCUUCUUAUUCCAUUAGAGCGGAAUGAGAACUCGUACACCUUUGGCAUGUUUAACACAAACCUGGCCAGUAACCCGGGUUACGAAAAUUGAUUCUCAAUCUUCUUCUCACUCGAUGUACAUUUCUCCUUCAUCGUUUCUUCGUUUCUAUCUAUCAUUCUUGCUGUCCGUCAUCCCGCCUCUCGCCUCUCUCUCUCUCGAGCUCGCCUCUCGCCUCUCUCUCUCUCUCUCUCUCUGAGUCUCUCCUCUCACUCUCUCCCAACAUCUCUCUCCACUCUCCAUUUGCUCGAUAGUCAAGGCUCUUUCCAAGGUGAGAAGGGCUUUGGCUACAAAGGGUCUGCAUUUCAUCGUGUAAUUAUGAAUUUUAUGAUUCAAGGAGGAGAUUUUGACAAGGGAAAUUAAUGGCUCAUUUGGGAGUGACACGGAGAAGCAGAGUAUUGUUGAAGUUUCAAGUUAACAUAAUGAUAAUCAAGUUUUUCGUUAUUUUUGUUCCUUGGUAUUUGAUGGGUAUAACACUAUUGAGUGAUCAUAUUUUCGGAAGAGGACAAGGGAUAGAAUGAUUCAUAGACUAGCUAAUCUAAAUAGCUUGAUAAAAGAUAGUGAUAUUGGAUGUAUAAAUGAACUUCGUAUGAAUAUGUCCACAUUUAAUGUGCUUUGUGAGAUGCUUAGAGAUAUCGGAGAUUCAAGAGAAACUAAAAAGAUGAGCUUAAACGAGACGGUUGCAAUAUUUUUGUACAUUUUAGCUCAUCACAAGAAGAAUAGAACAAUUGGAAAUUAUUUUGUGAGGAGUGGGGAAACAAUAAGUAGACAAUUUAAUCGCUGCCUUCUCUGCAGUUUUACUUUAAAAAUCCUCUCUGUACUUUUAUUUCAACUAGUUCAAAAAUGUGUACUAGUUGCAACUUUGUUAUGCCCCAUCUUAUUUGGUGACUAAUAUUUCAAGAUCAUCUUCAUUGCAGGUGGUCAUGCUGGGUAAUUUUUGUCGGAGCUGUUCUUGCUCCUUUUGAGAAGGAAGAUUCAUGUUUUAAAAAAAUUAACUUCCUAAAGUUGAUGUAACGUCGACUCAAAAAUUUUAUUUUGUGUAAAAAGUUGAUAAGUUUACUUGUUUAUGAUGUUAUUAUGAUUUGUUUUAAAGUUAUGCAAAUAACUAGAAAUUUUAUUUUA
Molecule: long non-coding RNA, 1181 nt
Organism: Daucus carota subsp. sativus
Lineage: Eukaryota; Viridiplantae; Streptophyta; Magnoliopsida; Apiales; Apiaceae
Exons: 3
Source: RefSeq, a predicted model, not a curated record